GACGAACGCUGGCGGCGUGCUUAACACAUGCAAGUCGAACGGAAAGGCCUCUUUCGGGGGGUACUCGAGUGGCGAACGGGUGAGUAACACGUGAGUAACCUGCCCUUGACUUUGGGAUAACUUCAGGAAACUGGGGCUAAUACCGGAUAGGAGCUCCUGCUGCAUGGUGGGGGUUGGAAAGUUUCGGCGGUUGGGGAUGGACUCGCGGCUUAUCAGCUUGUUGGUGGGGUAGUGGCUUACCAGGGCUUUGACGGGUAGCCGGCCUGAGAGGGUGACCGGCCACAUUGGGACUGAGAUACGGCCCAGACUCCUACGGGAGGCAGCAGUGGGGAAUAUUGCACAAUGGGUGGAAGCCUGAUGCAGCAACGCCGUGUGCGGGAUGACGGCCUUCGGGUUGUAAACCGCUUUCGCUCAUGACGAAGCUUUGUGUGACGGUAGUGGGUAAAGAAGCACCGGCUAACUACGUG
This 467-nucleotide ribosomal RNA is filed under the name uncultured bacterium. RNAcentral describes it as "partial 16S ribosomal RNA". It matches the Rfam family "Bacterial small subunit ribosomal RNA", at positions 28 to 507 of the family's 1533-position model. The record is from RNAcentral.